RNAcentral lists this long non-coding RNA (675 nucleotides) under Homo sapiens (human). Its description in RNAcentral is "long intergenic non-protein coding RNA 3026". Lineage: Eukaryota; Metazoa; Chordata; Mammalia; Primates; Hominidae. The record is from RNAcentral.
AACCAGGUGGAGGCCUUCGGGGUUCGGCAAGAGCAGUUCUGUGAGCUGGCGGAGCCUGGCGUCUGCCUGCGUGACGUGGAGGAACCGCAGGCGGCGACCGCGGACAGAAUGUACAGCCAUGUAAGACAUGCCUGUGCCUGCUUCCCCUUUGCCUUCUGCCAUGACUGAAAGUUUCCUAAGGCCUCCUCAGAAGCCGAGCAGAUGCCAGCAUCAUGCUUCCUCUAAAGCCUGUGGAACCAUGAGCCAAUUCUCCAGAGGAAUGCUUUCGACUUUCCCCCAUUCAGUAUGAUGUUGCAUAUGGGUUUGUCAUAUAUGGCUUUUACUACUUUCAGGAUUUUUCAUGGGCCGAUCUGCUGAAUUCAGCCUAGGAGCUGAGACCAACAUCUGAGUCUCUUCAGCACACAAGUUUGAAAGAAGUCCUAGCAACUUCAAGCUCAGAACUACGGGUGGCAGCAGCUCCCUCUUGACGUCGAAGCCUCCCAUUCCAGAGAGAGUCAAGGCCUGGAUCAAACAAAGCCCACAAGCACCGAUGACUGAGCUGCUGACUACCCCCAGCAUCUCCAACUCAACCUCCUCUUUCUGCCUCUACCCAAAUUUUAAAACUUUCAAACAUGGGUUUAAAAAUGGUAAUGAGUAAAGUUGCAUCCAAGUGUAUCAAAUAAAACUAAAUAUCCA